Molecule: long non-coding RNA, 4777 nt
Filed under: Brassica napus (rape)
Lineage: Eukaryota; Viridiplantae; Streptophyta; Magnoliopsida; Brassicales; Brassicaceae
Description: long non-coding RNA (BNAP_LNC016766)
Source: RNAcentral
UUUCAUGAGCAAGAUCUCGAAGUUAAGAAAUCUUACUUCACGCGUGACCCCACCAAGUGUUUUGUCUACAAUAGUAAUUUUGAUCUGUACAAUCCUUCUUCUCUAUGUGUUAACUGGAGAGACACCUUCGUUUGUUGCAUGGCUCCCGAUCCUCCAAACCCUGAAGACAUACCAUUGGCUUGCAGGUAUAAAUAAAUAUUGUUUUCUCAUCAAAAAUCUGUGGAAAAAAUAUUGAUUCUAACUAGGGCCGGAUUUGAGAUUUUGUGGGAUAAAAAUAUUUACUAAGAUUUUAAUAAAAAAAUAUUUAUAUAAUUUGUAGGCUGAUUUUUUUUGUAUAUAUUGAUUCUGACUAAGGCAGGGUUUUGUGGGAUAAAAAUAUUUACUAGAUUUAAUGAAAAAUAUUUAUAUAGUUUGGAGGUUGAUCCCCUAUACUAUAUUUGCGAAGUGAUUUUGCCAUAUGUCAUCUUUACAAUCAAUUUCACAAAACAAAUAUGACAUGACCACUGAAAUUGAUGACAUGGUUUCCGAAAAAAAUAUGACAUGAAUAAUUUUAUUUAAUGCUGAUUUAUAUUUUUGGCAAACUUAUUAAAAUAUGAUAAUAAUUCAUAUAUUACAUUUAAUAUUGAUAUUUCUUUUUGGUAAACUUUUUUUAAAUAUGGUAAUAGCUCAUACAUCAUCUAUAAAAUAAAUAUAUUAAUAUAUAAUUUUGUAUAAUUAUACAAUUUGUAUUACCAAAGCUUUCAAAGUUUCUACAAUUUUUAAAAAAAUUUAAAUAUCUAAUCGUAAAAUCAUUAGUUUCUUAUAUAUCUACAAAUUUUAUAAAUAUUGUUUAGGCUAAAUUUUUGAUAAUUAUAUAAUUUUAUAUCAUUUUUAUUAGUUUUAUACAAAUUGUUUAAUAUAUAUCAAAUUUUUAUUAAACAUUAGUAAGAAAAUAGUAAAAUCUAUAAUAUUUAAUAAAUUUUAUUUUUAAAUAUAAGUUAGAUUUAAAAGAUUUCUUACUGCACAUGGUGCAUGAAAACACUUAGUUUCUUUGUAUAUAACUCUAAAAAAAUUUGGGAACCAAUGUCAAUAUUUUACUAUAUUGUGCUCAAUCCGGUCAUGAAUUUCUAACUGACAUCAUUGGCUCAGGGAUGCUAUGAUUGAGUACUCGAAGCAUGUGAUGACCUUAGGUGGUUUUCUCUUUGAGCUUCUCUCAGAAGCUCUUGGUUUACACUCGGAGAUACUUAAGAGCAUGGAUUGCAUGAAGGCUUUGAAUGUGGUCGGCCAUUAUUACCCUCCUUGUCCACAACCCGACCUAACUUUUGGCACAAGUCAGCAUUCCGACAGCUCCUUCAUCACCAUUCUUCUUCAGGACCAAAUCGGUGGUCUUCAAAUUCUUCGUAAGGACUCUUGGGUCGAUGUCACUCCUCUUCCCGGAGCGCUCGUCAUCAACAUAGGAGAUUAUUUACAGGCAAUAUAUCAUUUUGGAGCUUUUAAAAGUAUAAUAUACAAUGCACUUUUGCUGAGAAACUAGGACACCUUUUAAUAUGCAGCUAAUAACGAAUGACAAGUUCAUAAGCGUGGAGCAUAGGGUGCUCACAAACAGAGCAGGACCGAGGAUUUCUGUCGCGGGCUUUUUCAGCACAAAUAUGCUUCCCAAUUCAACGGUUUACGGACCAAUCAAAGAGCUUCUUUCUGAAGAAAACCCUCCAAAAUACAAAGACUUCACUUUAGAAGAAUACAACAAGGGGUACUUUGAGAAAGGCCUUGACGGAACAUCGCAUCUGUCUAAGUUCAAGAUAUGAAGAACAUCUGAGUUAAAAUAUAUGUGCAUCAGUUCUUGUCUUGUUUUCCAUUUUAAGCUACUUUAUUUCCCUCUUAGCUCCCCUAUAACUAAACCACUACCAAAAGUAAGUACAGAAAUUGUGUGUCGGCAUUUAUUAAAUUCCCAUCGUAACAGCUUUGUAUUGGAUCAACAGAAAUAAAAUCAUUCUUCGUGUAUCAGAGAAUAAAAGUUGUUACUUCAAUGUUGGUGCUAGUUAUCAUUAAUUAUGCAAAUUUUAUGAAAAUGUUCUUAAAUUAAUAGAUAGUAGUGCUAAUUAUCAUUAUUUCGGUUCUUGAGUAAAUAAAAAUCGCCAGUAAUAGGUGUUCUUCUCUUUUCAUUUAUGAGAAAUUACCACAAAUAUCACUGGUACUACUUUUCAUUUUCAUGUAUACACUAAUCACUUUUAUCCUCAUUUUUAAUAAAUGGUAGAAGACACUUAUAUUCAUAGUGUUAACUAAUCUAUACUUAGGGUUGAGAAUUGAGGGGUGGCUUAGAGUUUUUGGAAUAUGAAAUUUAUGAUUCUAAUAAAUAUAUAAAUAAAUACUUAAAAAUUUAAAAAAUUUUAAAAAAAUAGUUUCAAGCAUAGUUUUCGAAAAAUAAAAUAAAAAUUCAAAAAAAAAAUUAUAAAAAAGUUCGAAUUUUAAAAAGUAUAAUUCGAAAACAUUAAAAAAAUUAUCAUUAUUUUUUAUUAUUAUUAUUUUUUAUUUAUUUAAAUAAUGAUUUAUUAUAUAUAUAGAGAACAAAUAUAUAAGAGUAUUUUGCCACUUAAUGAAGAAAAUAUUUUUGAAAAUGUCUCUUUAGUGGUGGUAAAGAUGAAAAAUGAUACCAUGAAAGUGGUAAACAUGAAAUUUCCCCUUGAUUUAUUAUGUUUCCUUAGCACAUUUAAUGUUCAGAGUACACCUGGGCGUUCGGUGGUACGUUCGGUUUCGGUUCGGGUGAUUCGGAUUUUCGACAAUUAAUCUUUAUCAAAAUAUUUUUGUAUAAUAUAUUUUGGUUUGGAUUUCAUAAAUUUUACGAGCUUUCUUUUGUAUCCAGACUAAACUGUUACCAAUAUUUUCUUUCUAUUUAAUUCAGAAAAUGAGGUGUAAACUAGAUUACUAGUUAAUAAAAAAGUAUUUGUGGAAAAUAUAGAAAAACUUUCAAUAUGAGGAGAGGAUUAUUCAACCCAUUCGUUUUUAAGUUUUUUUAUUGAGUUUUCCUGGUUGUGAAUGUUUAUGCUGACAUCAUGCCAACAAAAACUGCAAACGUCGUCAACGGUCACUGUCGUUCCCACACACCAAAGACCAAUUUUUCAACCAUGGAAUGUCGCUGCUAUGCCUCUCUUAUCUUUUCCUUCACCUCAUGAUCAUAAGUAAUGACUAUGACUAUAAAACUAUCUCCAACCCAUCCCUAUUUUUAUCUCUAUAUUUUCCUCUAAAAUAGGAAAACUCUAUUAUAGAAAUGAAAAUGUAUACCAUUUUGCUUAUACUCAAAAGCAAGGAGAUAUUCUCUUAAUCACUUAUCGACCAAACGUAUACCAUUUUCUUGAUACUCAAAAGUCACAUCAAGAUCAAGAUUACGUGGAACGUUCUUCUUCUUCGUCCUAUAUAUGGCGCAGCCUUUGUAAUAAAAUUUGAAAUAUUAGUCAAUAAAAAUAUUUGUGAAAAAUAUAAUAAAACUUUCACUAUGAGGAGGAUUUUUUUCGAUCAAUAUGAGGAAGAUUAUUCGACCCGUUAGUUUUAAGUUUUUUUUUUUAAGUUUUCCUCGUUGUGACUGUUUAUGCAGACAUCACGGCCAACAACAAGUGCUAACGUCAUCAACGGUCAUUGUCGUUCCACACACCAAAGACCAAAUUUCAACCAUGGAGUGUCGCUGCUAUGCCUCUCUUAUCUUUUCCUUUACCUAAUGCUCAUAACAAAUAAUAGUAUAUACCUAUAAGAGUACUGCCUUAAUCACUAAUCGACCACAAGAUCGAAAACGUAAACCAUUUUUCUUGAUAUUCAAGUCACAUCAAGAUGCAGACUACGUAUAAUAUUCCUUUUCUUCUUCGUCCUAUAUAUGACGCAGCCUUUGUGAGAAAUUUCGAAAUAGUUUCAAAAAACAAAUAUGGAGCUCGACUCUUACAACGAGCGCAAAGCUUUCGACGAGACCAAGGCAGGAGUUAAAGGUCUCGUCGAUGCUCACAUCACUGAGGUUCCUCAUAUCUUCCGUCUCCCUCAAGGUACCUUAUCCGACAAGAAACCCUCUGUUUCUGCCUCUGCGAUCCCUGUUGUCGACUUGGCAGAAGUAGACGUGUCACGUGAACGUGUCGUUGAGAAGAUCAAAGAUGCUGCAGAGACUUGGGGAUUUUUCCAGGUGAUCAAUCAUGGUGUUCCUUUAAGCGUUAUUGAAGAGAUCAAAGGUGGAGUUCGCAGGUUUCAUGAGCAAGAUCUCGAAGUUAAGAAAUCUUACUUCACGCGUGACCCCACCAAGUGUUUUGUCUACAAUAGUAAUUUUGAUCUGUACAAUCCUUCUUCUCUAUGUGUUAACUGGAGAGACACCUUCGUUUGUUGCAUGGCUCCCGAUCCUCCAAACCCUGAAGACAUACCAUUGGCUUGCAGGUAUAAAUAAAUAUUGUUUUCUCAUCAAAAAUCUGUGGAAAAAAUAUUGAUUCUAACUAGGGCCGGAUUUGAGAUUUUGUGGGAUAAAAAUAUUUACUAAGAUUUUAAUAAAAAAAUAUUUAUAUAAUUUGUAGGCUGAUUUUUUUUGUAUAUAUUGAUUCUGACUAAGGCAGGGUUUUGUGGGAUAAAAAUAUUUACUAGAUUUAAUGAAAAAUAUUUAUAUAGUUUGGAGGUUGAUCCCCUAUACUAUAUUUGCGAAGUGAUUUUGCCAUAUGUCAUCUUUACAAUCAAUUUCACAAAACAAAUAUGACAUGACCACUGAAAUUGAUGACAUGGUUUCCGAAAAAAAUAUGACAUGAAUAAUUUUAUUUAAUGCUGAUUUAUAUUUUUGGCA